RNAcentral lists this ribosomal RNA (436 nucleotides) under uncultured bacterium. RNAcentral describes it as "bacterial SSU rRNA". It matches the Rfam family "Bacterial small subunit ribosomal RNA", at positions 340 to 786 of the family's 1533-position model. The record is from RNAcentral.
UACGGAAGGCAGCAGUGGGGAAUAUUGCACAAUGGGCGGAAGCCUGAUGCAGCGACGCCGCGUGGGGAUGACGGCCUUCGGGUUGUAAACUCCUUUCGACAGGGACGAAGCUUUUUGUGACGGUACCUGUAUAAGAAGCACCGGCUAACUACGUGCCAGCAGCCGCGGUAAUACGUAGGGUGCGAGCGUUGUCCGGAAUUACUGGGCGUAAAGAGCUCGUAGGUGGUUUGUCGCGUCGUCUGUGAAAUUCCGGGGCUUAACUCCGGGCGUGCAGGCGAUACGGGCAUAACUUGAGUGCUGUAGGGGAGACUGGAAUUCCUGGUGUAGCGGUGAAAUGCGCAGAUAUCAGGAGGAACACCGAUGGCGAAGGCAGGUCUCUGGGCAGUUACUGACGCUGAGGAGCGAAAGCAUGGGUAGCGAACAGGGAUUAGAUACC